This 209-nucleotide ribosomal RNA is filed under the name uncultured bacterium. RNAcentral's name for it is "partial 16S ribosomal RNA". It matches the Rfam family "Bacterial small subunit ribosomal RNA", at positions 568 to 774 of the family's 1533-position model. The record is from RNAcentral.
AGCGCAGGCGGUUUCUUAAGUCUGAUGUGAAAGCCUUCGGCUUAACCGGAGAAGAGCAUCUGAAACUGGGAGACUUGAGUGCAGAAAAGGACAGUGGAACUCCAUGUGUAGCGGUGAAAUGCGUAGAUAUAUGGAAGAACACCAGUGGCGAAGGCGGCUGUCUGGUCUGUAACUGACGCUGAGGACUCGAAAGCGAUGGGUAGCGAACA